CAAAUCAGGCGGGACUACCCGCUGAACUUAAGCAUAUCAAUAAGCGGAGGAAAAGAAACUAACAAGGAUUCCCCUAGUAACUGCGAGUGAAGCGGGAUGAGCUCAAAUUUAAAAUCUGGCGUCUUCGGCGUCCGAGUUGUAAUUUAGAGAAGCGUUUUCCGCGCCGGACCGUGUACAAGUCUCCUGGAACGGAGCGUCAUAGAGGGUGAGAAUCCCGUCUUUGACACGGACAACCGGUGCUCUGUGAUACGCUCUCGAAGAGUCGAGUUGUUUGGGAAUGCAGCUCAAAAUGGGUGGUGAACUCCAUCUAAAGCUAAAUAUUGGCGAGAGACCGAUAGCGAACAAGUACCGUGAGGGAAAGAUGAAAAGCACUUUGGAAAGAGAGUGAAAUAGUACGUGAAAUUGUUGAAAGGGAAACGCUUGAAGUCAGUCGCGUCCGCCGGGAUUCAGCCUUACGGUGUACUUUCCGGUGGACGGGCCAGCAUCACUUUCAAUCAUUGGAAAAGGGCGAAGGGAAUGUGGCACCUCCGGGUGUGUUAUAGCCCUUUGUCGUAUACAGUGACUGGGAGUGAGGACCGCCUUUGUAGGAUGCUGGCGUAAUGGCUUUAAACGACCCGUCUUGAAACACGGACCAAGGAGUCUAACAUGCCCGCGAGUGUUCGGGUGGAAAACCCGUGCGCGUAAUGAAAGUGAAAGUUGGGAAGGCUAUCGUGGGCUGCACCGACGCCCGGACUUGAGAUUUAUCGAAGGUUCUGCGGUAGAGCGUGUAUGUUGGGACCCGAAAGAUGGUGAACUAUGCCUGAAUAGGGUGAAGCCAGAGGAAACUCUGGUGGAGGCUCGUAGCGAUCUGACGUGCAAAUCGAUCGUCAAAUUUGGGUAUAGGGGCGAAAGACUAAUCGAACCAUCUAGUAGCUGG
Molecule: ribosomal RNA, 916 nt
Filed under: Peniophora sp. X-34
Lineage: Eukaryota; Fungi; Basidiomycota; Agaricomycetes; Russulales; Peniophoraceae
Description: eukaryotic LSU rRNA
Rfam family: Eukaryotic large subunit ribosomal RNA
Source: RNAcentral